Molecule: ribosomal RNA, 894 nt
Filed under: Triticum aestivum (bread wheat)
Lineage: Eukaryota; Viridiplantae; Streptophyta; Magnoliopsida; Poales; Poaceae
Description: partial small subunit ribosomal RNA
Source: RNAcentral
AUGACACCAGACAAGGAGGCGAGAGAGGUGUUUGAUGCGUUGGUCAGUAUAAAGGUGGGUUCGGGCGACAAGGUUCUCUUCUGGAAGGACAAGUGGAUCCAUGGAGUUGCGGUUGCGGAGAUUGCACCAAUGAUUGUGGCCACCGUCCCAACGAGGAUAGCCAAUAGACGUACGAUGCACCAAGCCUUAGAAGAUGGCAGUUGGACACAUGACUUCGAGCAGAGCACCUCCUUCACCUCCCUAAUGCAGUGCAUGCAUCUUUGCCAUGCAAUUGGAACGCUGGACCGAGAUCCAUCACUGUCGGAAAGUUUCACUUGGCCAAUAUCACCGUCCGGCACCUACACGGCUAAAUCGGUCUAUGACUACCUAUGCUCUGAACUAUCUAGAUCUCCCACGGCAGAAUGUAACUGGAGGAGCUGGGCACCACUCAAAUGCAAACUGUUCGUGUGGCUAGCCCUGCAGGACAGAGUAUGGACGUCGGACAGGAGAGCCAGACAUGGCUUACAGGAUCAGCCGUCUGCAUGCUACACGUGCUUGCAGGCAAAAGACAACGUGGAUCACAUCCUGGCGAACUUCACGUAUGCGCAGGAAGUGUGGCACAAGGUGUUUAAUCUCAUUCCGAUUGAGGUGCAGGGCCCGGUGGAGUCGGACGUGUUCAAGGAUUGGUGGCUGGCAGUGCGAAUGAGAUUCAGAGGACAGGACCGCAGAGGGUUUGACACUUUGGUGACGGCAGUGGCUUGGGCUCUCUGGAAGCAAAGGAGCGCUAGAGUCUUCAACAGGAUCAGCGAGCAGAUGAACGCAAGCGAGUUACCAUUCAGGAUUUUGGAAGAGAUUGCUGAGUGGAGGCAGGCUGGGGUGGGAAUAGGAGGUCUACAACGUUUUGUGAGAAGUUAG